GUCGCCCAGGCUGGAGUGCAGUGGCCGGAUCUCAGCUCACUGCCAUGGAUUAAGAUGGCAGAGCCACAAGAUGGAAAUUGCCUGAAUCUCUGAGUAACAAGACAGAGAACCACAUGGAGAGGAGUUGCCCUGGAGAGUCCCCCAAUGUAUGUUGAACUUAGAGUGAAAGUAAAAUAAGCCUUUAUCGUGUUAACAUAAUAAAGGGAGAAUUAGUCAUUG
This is a non-coding RNA of Macaca mulatta (Rhesus monkey), 219 nucleotides long. Lineage: Eukaryota; Metazoa; Chordata; Mammalia; Primates; Cercopithecidae. The record is from RefSeq and is a predicted model, not a curated record.